Molecule: ribosomal RNA, 253 nt
Filed under: uncultured bacterium
Lineage: Bacteria
Description: partial 16S ribosomal RNA
Rfam family: Bacterial small subunit ribosomal RNA
Source: RNAcentral
UACGGAGGGGGCUAGCGUUGUUCGGAAUUACUGGGCGUAAAGCGCACGUAGGCGGCUUUGUAAGUUAGAGGUGAAAGCCCGGGGCUUAACCCCGGAAUAGCCUUUAAGACUGCAUCGCUUGAACACGGGAGAGGUGAGUGGAAUUCCGAGUGUAGAGGUGAAAUUCGUAGAUAUUCGGAAGAACACCAGUGGCGAAGGCGGCUCACUGGACCGUUGUUGACGCUGAGGUGCGAAAGCGUGGGGAGCAAACAGG